Molecule: unclassified non-coding RNA, 373 nt
Filed under: uncultured Sphingobacteriales bacterium
Lineage: Bacteria; Pseudomonadati; Bacteroidota; Sphingobacteriia; Sphingobacteriales
Description: contains 16S-23S intergenic spacer region
Source: RNAcentral
UCACCGCUUACGCGGGCAGUCUCAUUAGAGUCCCCAGCAUAACCUGUUGGCAACUAAUGAUAGGGGUUGCGCUCGUUGCGGGACUUAACCCAACACCUCACGGCACGAGCUGACGACGGCCAUGCAGCACCUAGUUUCGUGCAAUUGCUUGCUGACCUAUUUCUAAAUCAUUCACUAACUUUCAAGCCCUGGUAAGGUUCCUCGCGUAUCAUCGAAUUAAACCACAUGCUCCUCCGCUUGUGCGGGCCCCCGUCAAUUCCUUUGAGUUUCAGUCUUGCGACCGUACUCCCCAGGUGGAUUACUUAACGCUUUAGCUGUGACGCGUACGGUAUAUUGCACACAUCUAGUAAUCAUCGUUUAGGGCGUGGACUAC